UUGCUCUUCAACGAGGAAUGCCUAGUAAGCGCGUGUCAUCAGCAUGCGUUGAUUACGUCCCUGCCCUUUGUACACACCGCCCGUCGCUACUACCGAUUGAAUGGCUCAGUGAGGCCUUCGGACUGGCUUGGGGAGGUUGGCAACGACCACCCUGAGCCGGAAAGUUCGUCAAACUCGGUCAUUUAGAGGAAGUAAAAGUCGUAACAAGGUUUCCGUAGGUGAACCUGCGGAAGGAUCAUUACCUUUCAGUACAGAAGCGUUGUGUUGGUUGAGUUGUGCCGGUUGAGUCUCGCUGACAAGUGGGAUUCCUGGUGGCAACUCCCUUCAUAAUUCUCCCUGUCUAUCAUCCUUGUCUUUUGCGUACUAUUGUUUCCUCGGUGGGCUUGCCCACCGGUUGGACAACCUUAUAACCUAUUUAAUUUUCAAUCAGCGUCUGAAAUAAUAUAAUAAUUACAACUUUCAACAACGGAUCUCUUGGUUCUGGCAUCGAUGAAGAACGCAGCGAAAUGCGAUAAGUAGUGUGAAUUGCAGAAUUCAGUGAAUCAUCGAAUCUUUGAACGCACAUUGCGCCCCUUGGUAUUCCAUGGGGCAUGCCUGUUCGAGCGUCAUUUGUACCCUCAAGCUUUGCUUGGUGUUGGGUGUUUGUCUUUUCCACGCGAUCAGACUCGCCUUAAAAUAAUUGGCAGCCAGUGUUUUGGUUUUGAAGCGCAGCACAAGUCGCGAUUCAGCUUAUAUCACUAGUUUCCAUUAAGCAUUUUAUCACUUUUGACCUCGGAUCAGGUAGGGAUACCCGCUGAACUUAAGCAUAUCAAUAAGCGGAGGA
This 823-nucleotide ribosomal RNA is filed under the name uncultured fungus. RNAcentral's name for it is "eukaryotic LSU rRNA". The stretch from base 1 to 241 matches the Rfam family "Eukaryotic small subunit ribosomal RNA", at positions 1593 to 1831 of the family's 1831-position model. The record is from RNAcentral. Lineage: Eukaryota; Fungi.